GAAACCCAAUCGCGCACAACAGGCAGCCACCGCCCGCCGCCGGCCGCCGCCGCUUUGCCCUGCAGCGAGCAAGGGCCACACCAGCCAUCUCUGCGCCCCCGUUUGCCCGCCGCACCGCACGUCUGGAGUGGACGGGUGCGGGCACCAUCCACUGUUCCGGGGCGUGCUGUCUCUGCUCCAACAAAGGUAGAGAGGGAGCGGCUGCUGGCAGUCGAGCGGCCGGGGAUGUUCUGAGCAUCGAAGAAAAUCUCAGAUGUGAGGGAUUGAUGCUCUCGUAUGCUACAAUUGAUUUCAAGCACUAGCUUUCUUAAUUCUCGUAUGCUGAACUAUGCUCCUCUAUGCUAACAAGUCACUUAAGAAGAUGUAUCCUGUUGCAAAGAACUAUUUUGGAGGGCUGCUCCAACCACAUUCAUUUUCAGUUUCUGAUCUUGUCAAUCCUCCGAGAUCCUCAGACAUAGCUUCUAGAUAUGCUAUUCCAUUCAAGGCUCGUUCGUUUACACAAUGUUCCAUUGGAGGAUGUUCAGCUGACCAAGAGAUUGUGAUUGCUAUGGGAAGUAAUGUGGGUGAUAGAGUCAAUACAUUUGACAGGGCAUUGCAGCUGAUGAAAAGCUCGGGCUUGAGCAUCACUAGGCAUGCCAAUCUCUACGAGACUGCCCCUGCUUAUGUGACCAAUCAGUCACGGUUUCUUAAUUCUGCCAUUCGGGGCACAACUAGGCUCCAUCCGCAUGAGCUUCUUAAAAAGCUAAAGGAAAUUGAGAAGGAUAUAGGCCGCACUAGUGGAAUAAGGUAUGGCCCAAGGCCUAUUGAUCUAGACAUACUUCUAUAUGGUAAUUCCAAGAUUAAUAGUGAGACUCUAAUUGUGCCACAUGAGCGCAUCCAUGAGAGGCCAUUUGUUUUAGCACCUCUUGUAGACCUUCUAGGUGCUUCUGGUGAAGAUGGUAUCGAAACAAGUUGGCACUCUCUUUCGAAAUGCAGUGGUGGUUUCUUUGAAUUAUGGAAUAAACUUGGGGGUGAAUCUAUCAUUGGCACAGAAACUAUUAAAAGGGUAUUACCUGUUGGGAAUCGUUUGUUGGAUUGGAGUGAGAGAACUCUCGUCAUGGGGGUCCUUAAUCUAACACCAGAUAGCUUUAGUGAUGGAGGUAAGUUUCAACAAGUGGAAGCUGCCAUUUCUCAGGCUAAGUUAUUAAUCUCAGAAGGUGCUGAUAUCAUUGAUAUUGGUGCUCAAUCUACCAGGCCCUUUGCAAAGAGAUUGUCUCCAAACGAAGAACUUGAGAGAUUGGUUCCUGUUCUGGAUGAGAUUAUGAAAAUUCCCGAGAUGGACGGAAAGUUGCUCUCAGUGGAUACCUUCUAUGCAGAAGUUGCUAGUGAAGCUGUGAAAAGAGGAGCUCACAUGAUCAAUGAUGUAUCGGGUGGACUGCUUGACCCCAAAAUUCUUAAAGUUGCUGCUGAACUCAGAGUUCCGUAUGUUACAAUGCAUAUGAGGGGAGAUCCAUCAACUAUGCAAAGUGAACCAAAUUUACAUUAUGAUGAUGUCUGCAAGGAAGUUGCUUCUGAGCUAUAUGCACAGGUGAGAGAAGCAGAGUUAUCUGGGAUUCCAUUGUGGAGGAUAGUUCUAGAUCCAGGCAUUGGGUUCUCCAAGAAAUCGAAACAUAACCUUGAAGUAAUUAUGGGAUUGGAAUCCAUUAGGAGGGAGAUGGGUAAAAUGAGUAUAGGUGCUUCACAUGUGCCAAUAUUAUUGGGACCCUCGAGGAAGAGUUUUUUGGGUGAAAUAUGCAACCGUGCCAAUCCAGUUGAGAGAGAUGCUGCCACUGUUGCAGCUGUGACAGCUGGGAUUUUGAACGGUGCUAACAUAGUAAGGGUCCAUAAUGCUGGAUAUGGCGCAGAUGCUGCAAAGGAGGGCUACCCAUCAUUGUGUUAGGAAAGUGUAUUUGCAUUUUUGUAUUCCCCAUGAAGAAAUCUCAUGUUUUGCAAGUGCUGUAUGACAUGCAUAACAAGACUUGUGCUAUGAUUUACCUGGUUUCUGAAGGUCAUCCAACUACGAAAUAUAAAUAUUUUCCAGUUUGCAAUUUGGAAUAGCACUACAGGAGUGAUCUUACUAGCAUCGGUUUGCUCUGUGGAUCGAGCUCAAAGCAGCCGGCCUCAACAAAUGCUUCCUAUGUGAUUGGCUUAUAUUCUCUGUUGGGACCCUCUAGAUGUGGUUGGACUGUACAGAUAAGUUCAUCUCCAUAUUCGAGCUGGGUUCAGUAUGAAAUUUUGGCACUCACUGAUUGGAGUGUGGAUGGGAAUAUCCCUAACCGGCCACAGAGAAGAUAAAAGGAUGGAAAGAUGAUAGAUGGAGGCUCCUUUGGUCAAAAGAGGAGACCUUUUGAGAGGUGGAGGAUAUCCACUCCUGUAGAAUCCCCAUAGAUAUUUUCUGGCCGUUGGAUGUUGACACGCCUGUUGUUAGAUAUAAUCGAAACCAAUCAAUUUUGCUUUGUCCAGAGAAGAAUCUUCAGGCAGUAACACUGAGAUUGAAAUUAUACUCAUAUAAUCGAAACCAAUCAGAGAAGAAUAAGUGGCAGAUUGAAAUUGCUGCAAUCUCCAAAACAUAAAAGGGACCAUUGGUUUUUCAACUAUAGUAUACUCAUAAAUAAAGUUAUAAUCUUAUGGAAGUAUAGUCAAAAUUUGCUCAUAUAUGAACAGCAUUAUUGGUGAAAUUAAGAUAUUUUGGUUGCGAAAAGAUUCUGAA
RNA transcript from Panicum virgatum (switchgrass), 2728 nucleotides. It is a transcript of the gene named folate synthesis bifunctional protein, mitochondrial-like, with no coding region annotated. Lineage: Eukaryota; Viridiplantae; Streptophyta; Magnoliopsida; Poales; Poaceae. The transcript has 6 exons. The record is from RefSeq and is a predicted model, not a curated record.